AGUAUUUGACAAUGGGGGCAACCCUGAUCCAUCCAUGCCGCGGGGGUGAAGAAGGUCUUCGGCUUGUAAAGCACUUUAGGUCGGGAGGAAGGGCUCUACGCUAAUAGCCUGAAGCUUUGCCGUUACCAGCAGAAUAAGCACCGGCUGACUCUGUGCCAUCAGCCGCGGUAAUACAGAGGGUGCAAGCGUUAAUCGGAGUUACUGGGCGUAAAGCGCGCGUAGGUGGUUCAGUAAGAUGGGUGUGAAAUCCCCGGGCUUAACCUGGGAACUGCUUUCAUAACUGCUGAGCUAGAGUACGGUAGAAGGUAGUGGAAUUUCCUGUGUAGCGGUGAAAUGCGUAGAUAUAGGAAGGAACACCAGUGGCGAAGGCGACUACCUAGACUGAUACUGACACUGAGGUGCGAAAGCGUGGGGAGCAAACA
This 422-nucleotide ribosomal RNA is filed under the name uncultured bacterium. RNAcentral describes it as "partial 16S ribosomal RNA". It matches the Rfam family "Bacterial small subunit ribosomal RNA", at positions 359 to 774 of the family's 1533-position model. The record is from RNAcentral.